Molecule: small nucleolar RNA, 129 nt
Organism: Bufo bufo (common toad)
Lineage: Eukaryota; Metazoa; Chordata; Amphibia; Anura; Bufonidae
Product: small nucleolar RNA SNORA77
Exons: 1
Source: RefSeq, a predicted model, not a curated record
GCAGACUCACUCUGUGCUCAACUGCAAACUCCAGUUUCAGUGCUUUUUCAGUCUGCUAUAUAAACACCAUGAUCAACUGAACACUUUUUUUCAAUGUAGAAAAGUUGUGUUUGGUGAUGGGAUAUUAGU